GUCACGGUCGCGAAGGUGUUUAGCCAGGAUUUUGAUUGCAUCAGAUUUAGGAGAUGUUUGUAUGGGCAGACCCUUGAGAUGUGGAACAAAUUACUUGAUAUGUGUAGUCAGGUGACCUUGUCGGAGGAACCUGACAGAGUUAAAUGGCUUCUUACCUCUUCUGGGAACUUUUCGGUUAAAUCUCUGUACCAUUAUCUUGUUGCUCGACAAGUUGUUUUCCCUUAUAAGUUGCUAUGGAGAAUGAAGAUGCCGUUGAAAAUUAAAGCCUUCUCCUGGUUAGUGAUCAAGAAUAGGAUCCUAAACAAAGAUAACUUAAGUAAAAAAGGGUGA
This 330-nucleotide ribosomal RNA is filed under the name Triticum aestivum (bread wheat). RNAcentral describes it as "partial small subunit ribosomal RNA". Lineage: Eukaryota; Viridiplantae; Streptophyta; Magnoliopsida; Poales; Poaceae. The record is from RNAcentral.